This 3323-nucleotide long non-coding RNA is filed under the name Homo sapiens (human). RNAcentral's name for it is "highly accelerated region 1B". The record is from RNAcentral. Lineage: Eukaryota; Metazoa; Chordata; Mammalia; Primates; Hominidae.
GGGGAGGCCGGUCUCCUCGCGAGGGCCUGGGCCGCUCUGGGCGCUCGGCCCGCGUGUCGGGGGCUCCCCGGGGCGCCCUGGGCUCCUGCUGCUGUUUCUUCCUGGCCGGCCUUGAGGUGCGGAGCCCCCGGGCUCUGCUGAGGGCCUCCCGGCCCCGUGGCCUCGGUGACCUCGGUUCAGGCGUCCGUGACCGUCUCGCCUGGUGGCUCCGCGCCGCUGACCUCGGCACGCCGCGGGCCUUCCUCCUCUUGCGGACCGGAGGGAGAGCCGGGCGCAGAGACCGAGGCACAGUCGCGCGGCGCGGCGUUCCGCGUGACCCUGCGGUUAAAACCCGCGCGCUGCAGCAUCGCGGAAAACGGGAUUCGCCUCAUUUGAAACUUGAGGAAAAUCUCUAAACACUUUCAUUUUGAUAGAAACCAUUUCCGCCGCUGACGUGCGUCUACGCCCAUCAUUUCAGCUGACACGUUGCUGUAACGUCUCCUCCGUUUCAUGCUCUUUCGAACCCUGUCAGCUGCGGGAAGGAACUUCUAAACUAAAAGCUGGCAAGACUCAGCAGAAAAAAAAUAUCGAAAGCUGCUUCUGCUGCCCCAGCUUCACUCAGGCCCUGGCUGCUCCUUCACUGGUCUACACUGCUGCCUCCUGGAACCACCCACUCUGCAACCAGGUCUGAUGCCCGGUGUGGACAUUCAGGGAUGAGGUCCCCUGGGGCUAAAUGAAUGAACAGAUUCUGAAAAGCAGAAGCUACGUCCGGGGGUCUCUGGGCCACAAAUCACUUUCUGACCUGCAGCCGUGAGGCGUGAGGCUCACUCGGAAGCUCCCGGAACCUGGAGACUGCCCUCACUCAACACUUGAACAAGCAAGGGGCCAGGUUCAAUGAAACACCUGCCCGCCCGGCACACCAGGCUCAAAAGCAAGCAAGCAAGCAAACAAACAAACAAAAUCAAAUCAGGCCUUCACAACUCCCCAAAUCAUGUGUGAGUUUCUACAGAGCAGAAGCCAAAAAUAUAUGUUAUCUAACUAGGUCCUAUUUACAUAUAUUUUUAUGGCUGCUCUAAAAAAUUAUCACAAACAUAGCGGCUUCACCCCGUUUCCCCUGUUGUGAUUAUUACACAUUGGAUGCCUGUAUCAAAAUAUCUCAUGGACCCCAUAAAUAGCAACACCCUGUAUGUACUCAUGACAAUUUUUUAAAAAAGAACACUUACACUUUCCAUUUCUGCAGGUUAGACGUCUGAAAUGGUCUCCCUGGGCUAACAUCAGGUCUUGGGAGGGCUGGUUCCUUCUAGAGGCUCCAGGGGAGAACCCCUCGGCCCUCAGUCCCAUCCUCCGUCUUCAGAGCCAGUGGUGUCUCGUCACUGAGACCUGCUCUGCCCUCCGCCUCUAUGUUGAAGGGCCCGAGAUUCUACUGGGUCCCCCCGGAUAAUCCAGGGUCACCCCUCCGUGUCAGGCGGCUGACUGGCAGCCUCAUGUGUCCACAGUUUCCGUGCACCGGGAGGUGGGCAUGUUUAGGGGCCCCCAUUCUGCCUCCCAUGAGUCUGCAGGGCCUGACUUUGUAAUUUGGGAUCAUUCUUAGGGUACCCAGAUACAACAAACAAAAACGCAGCAAACAAAAACACAGGGUGCCCAGCUCAACAGGAAGUUUGGAGAAGCAGUGACUGAUUUUUUAGUGUAAGUCUGUCCCAAAUAUUGUAGAAUCCAUCCAAACGCUGCCGGACACCCUGUGUCUCAGCCGCAGGAUGGCCACGCUGCACACUUAGUGCGGGCCCGGAGCUGCCGGUGCAGAAGGGGGUUUCUGAGUUGGAGGGAUGCAGGUGCGGUUCCCCCCCAGCUUCCUUGGGAUGCCCAGUGUGGACAUACAGGGAUGAGGUCCCCUGGGGCUAAACGAAUGAACAGUUUUUGAAAAGCAGAAGCUACGUCCAGGGGGUUUCUGGGCCUCAAAUUGCGCAGACUUGCGGUGCUGGGGAGACGUUUUGCCUGCAGGCAGCAGGCUCUGAAUUGCCCUUUAGCUCCCGACCUGGGGUACAGCGAGAAGGAGGAGACGGAGGCAGACCGGCACGGGGUGGUCAGGGACAGCGGUGCUGACACACGGCUGCUCAAAGAUGACUUGGAACUCGAGGCCCAGCUCGUUAUUCUGGGGGUGACUGGCUCCCAGUGUCUGGACGGGUCUGAGCCCCACCACAGCUGGCCUGGACUGGACUGGAAACCGUGCCCAUUAACGACCCCUGGGCCACCCAGAGCCCCCAGCUCCGGAGACCCCGGGGUCUGGUUUGUGGCUGUUUGUCGCCCACGGGCCCCUCCACCAGCUCCUUUCGGUGAGUGUUGAUUCAGGGAGAACCGGACGGUCAGGCACUGGUUUACUCUCUGGAGGAAAGCAGGAAGCUGAGAAAAGCACUUCACUGCUGCCACACUGAGUGUGGCUUGUUUCCUAGAGAAGCCUCUGUGUGGUGGUCCCGGCCAGGCCGCGGAGCAGCGCAGCCUUGGGGGCGAGGCACCCUCCCCUCCCCAUGCCCAUGGGGCUCUCCUUCGGGACUUCAGCACCAGGGGAAGUUCUUUCUCCAGAGCAGCCGUCUUGGCCUUCAGGCUGGAGUGCGGCUCACAGAGGCCGGGCAGCCAGGAGACAGCGGCUCUGGGAUAUUCCAAACAUACUGGAGAGCUCACGUGUGUGCACAGGGAAGGGCGGCCGGUGAGCUUGAACUGAGGGUGCGGUCACCAGCCAAGUUUUCCAAGGAGGCGCCCUCCAGAUUCACACCUGGGUGCAGCUUGCGAUGUUUACAUUUUUUUAUUUUUUUGAGAUGAAGUCUUGCUCUGUCGCCCAGGCUGGGGUGCAAUGGCACCAUCUUGGCUCACUGCGACCUCCACCUCCCAAGUUCAAGUGAUUCUCCUGCCUCAGCCCCCUGAGUAGCUGGGAUUACAGGCGUGCGCCACCACGUCCAGCUAAUUUUUGUAUUUUUAGUAGAGACGGGGAUUCACCGUGUUGGCCAGGAUGGUCUCAAACUCCUGACCUCAGGUGAUCUGCCUGCCUCAGCCUCCUAAAGUGCUGGGAAUACGGGGGUGAGCCACCGUGCCUGGCCAGCUUGCAAUUUUUUUAGAGCCGUCUCUGAGUUCUCCAGCCACCAGAACCCUCGUAAAGAGGGGGUUGAAGCUCCCUUGGCCACAGGACAUUGGAGGGUAACGUGUAAGAAGACCUUCUCAGGGAACCCCCUAGUCCCGAAUUCUCUCCCUGGAUUCAGUAAGAAAUUAUAAUUAAUUUCUUUUUCAGUAAAAGGCAAAGCUAUUUUUAAAUUGCAAGCCUGAUUGAAUUAACAAAAUGUUAGACAAUUACCCGU